This 1543-nucleotide ribosomal RNA is filed under the name Nocardia nova. RNAcentral's name for it is "partial 23S ribosomal RNA". It matches the Rfam family "Bacterial large subunit ribosomal RNA", at positions 1 to 1470 of the family's 2925-position model. Lineage: Bacteria; Bacillati; Actinomycetota; Actinomycetes; Mycobacteriales; Nocardiaceae. The record is from RNAcentral.
UAGUAAGUGUGUAAGAGCGUACGGUGGAUGCCUUGGCACCAGGAGCCGAUGAAGGACGUAGGAGGCUGCGAUAAGCCUCGGGGAGCUGUCAACCGAGCUGAGAUCCGAGGAUUUCCGAAUGGGGAAACCCAGCACGAGUGAUGUCGUGUUACCCGCCGUUGAAUAUAUAGACGGUGUGGAGGGAACGUGGGGAAGUGAAACAUCUCAGUACCCACAGGAAGAGAAAACAAUAGUGAUUCCGUGAGUAGUGGCGAGCGAAAGCGGAAGAGGCUAAACCGGUUGUGUGUGAUAGACGGCAGUCGUUGCAUAGCCGGGGUUGUGGGACUUGCUUUCUCAGAUCUGCCGAUCUGGGCGACAGUCAGAAAAGAUCGCGUUAGUCGAAUUGGUCUGGGACGGCCAACCGUAGACGGUGAGAGUCCGGUAGACGAAAACGUGUUCUCUGUUGUAGCAGGCACCCGAGUAGCAGCGGGCCCGUGAAAUCUGCUGUGAAUCUGCCGGGACCACCCGGUAAGCCUGAAUACUCCCUGGUGACCGAUAGCGGACUAGUACCGUGAGGGAAAGGUGAAAAGUACCCCGGGAGGGGAGUGAAAUAGUACCUGAAACCGUGCGCUUACAAUCCGUCAGAGCCUUCGAUUCGUCGUGGGGUGAUGGCGUGCCUUUUGAAGAAUGAGCCUGCGAGUCAUCGGUGUGUGGCGAGGUUAACCCGUGUGGGGUAGCCGUAGCGAAAGCGAGUCCGAAUAGGGCGUUUGAGUCGCAUGUCAUGGACCCGAAGCGGAGUGAUCUACCCAUGGCCAGGGUGAAGCGACGGUAAGACGUCGUGGAGGCCCGAACCCACUUAGGUUGAAAACUGAGGGGAUGAGCUGUGGGUAGGGGUGAAAGGCCAAUCAAACUCCGUGAUAGCUGGUUCUCCCCGAAAUGCAUUUAGGUGCAGCGUCGCGUGUUUCACACUGGAGGUAGAGCUACUGGAUGGCCUAGGGGGCCCACAAGCUUACCGAAGUCAGCCAAACUCCGAAUGCCGGUGUGUGAGAGCGCGGCAGUGAGACUGCGGGGGAUAAGCUUCGUAGUCGAGAGGGAAACAGCCCAGAUCGCCGGCUAAGGCCCCUAAGCGUGUACUAAGUGGAAAAGGAUGUGGGGUCGCUGAGACAACCAGGAGGUUGGCUUAGAAGCAGCCACCCUUGAAAGAGUGCGUAAUAGCUCACUGGUCAAGUGAUCCUGCGCCGAUAAUGUAGCGGGGCUCAAGUACACCGCCGAAGCCGCGGCACUCAGUCAUACAGAUCGCCUUCGGGCCAGUCGACUGGGUGGGUAGGGGAGCGUCGUGUAGCCAGGGAAGCAGCGGGGUGACCUAGUUGUGGAGGCUGCGCGAGUGAGAAUGCAGGCAUGAGUAGCGAAAGACGAGUGAGAAACUCGUCCGCCGAAUGACCAAGGGUUCCUGGGCCAGGUUAAUCCGCCCAGGGUGAGUCGGGACCUAAGGCGAGGCCGACAGGCGUAGUCGAUGGACAACGGGUUGAUAUUCCCGUACCCGUGUAUCCGCGCCCAAUGGCGA